UUCUAGCCCUGAUUGAAGCGACAUCCUUUUUCUUUUUUCUUUAAAAAGGAAAAGAUAUAGCGUAAAGCAGGAAAUAGC
RNAcentral lists this small RNA (78 nucleotides) under Flavobacterium aquatile LMG 4008 = ATCC 11947. Its description in RNAcentral is "Flavobacterium aquatile LMG 4008 Flavo-1 RNA". It matches the Rfam family "Flavo-1 RNA". The record is from Rfam by way of RNAcentral. Lineage: Bacteria; Pseudomonadati; Bacteroidota; Flavobacteriia; Flavobacteriales; Flavobacteriaceae.